RNAcentral lists this transfer RNA (91 nucleotides) under Saprospiraceae bacterium. RNAcentral describes it as "tRNA-Ser". It matches the Rfam family "tRNA". Rfam says of the family: Transfer RNA (tRNA) molecules are approximately 80 nucleotides in length. The record is from RNAcentral. Lineage: Bacteria; Pseudomonadati; Bacteroidota; Saprospiria; Saprospirales; Saprospiraceae.
GGAAGAGUGGCAGAGCUGGUUGAUUGCACCGGUCUUGAAAACCGGCGUACCUGAGAGGGUACCGGGGGUUCGAAUCCCUCCUCUUCCGCCA